This 205-nucleotide long non-coding RNA is filed under the name Mytilus galloprovincialis (Mediterranean mussel). Lineage: Eukaryota; Metazoa; Mollusca; Bivalvia; Mytilida; Mytilidae. The record is from RNAcentral.
CACAAAUAGUGUCAUAAACUUAUUCCUUAUUCCCAUUAGAAACUUUUUAAAAUUGAUUCACUUUGGUAACAGGAAAGAACUGGAUUUUUUUUAUACCAUUUUUAAAAUUGCCAUUGUUACCACAUUUAACAAUUGUUUGAAUUACAGACAACAGUUCCUAGAUCCUCAAUGUGUGUUCUUCGAUUUGUGUUAUUAAAAUACCGGG